AGUGAACGCUGGCGGUAGGCCUAUCACAUGCCAGUCGAACGGCAGCACAGUAAGAGCUUGCUCUUACGGGUGGCGAGUGGCGGACGGGUGAGGAAUACAUCGGAAUCUACUUUUUCGUGGGGGAUAACGUAGGGAAACUUACGCUAAUACCGCAUACGACCUACGGGUGAAAGCAGGGGAUCUUCGGACCUUGCGCGAUUGAAUGAGCCGAUGUCGGAUUAGCUAGUUGGCGGGGUAAAGGCCCACCAAGGCGACGAUCCGUAGCUGGUCUGAGAGGAUGAUCAGCCACACUGGAACUGAGACGCGGUCCAGACUCCUACGGGAGGCAGCAGUGGGGAAUAUUGGACAAUGGGCGCAAGCCUGAUCCAGCCAUACCGCGUGGGUGAAGAAGGCCUUCGGGUUGUAAAGCCCUUUUGUUGGGAAAGAAAAGCAGCAGGUUAAUACCCCGCUGUUCUGACGGUACCCAAAGAAUAAGCACCGGCUAACUUCGUG
Molecule: ribosomal RNA, 492 nt
Filed under: uncultured bacterium
Lineage: Bacteria
Description: partial 16S ribosomal RNA
Rfam family: Bacterial small subunit ribosomal RNA
Source: RNAcentral